CUAGACCCUCUCCUCUCAGCAACACACAUACACCACCACCAAACUUCACAGAUUGAGCUUUGCAACCACCACCAUCGUGUUCCUCUCGUUCCCACGAACACAUCCCUAUCAACCGAUCACAAAAUGGACGAGUUUUGAGUGUUCAACUUGGAAGCUCUGACUCAGAGGUGAUUUUCUCCACGAUUUUCCAUUCGAGUUGCACAUUUUUAGAAGGUUUGGAAGCAUCUAGGCGACUCCCCGAGGCCACUAGCCUAGUUUUGAAGUGGAGCCGACGAGGAAAACCACGGGUUUCAGACAACAAAAGUAAGGCCGAGAGUCUAUAGUCCAUUUUGAUCCAUUUCCCAUCCAUUUUUGGACUUUUGGAAGAAUCCAGCCAAAUUCUUCAGUUUCCAACGAACCAGACCGUGGUAGCGGCGGCGGCGGCGGACGGCAGUGAUAGCGGCGGAGGUCCACCGAAGAAGAAGACAGAAUAUUCCAUCAAACUUAACGGAAUAUUCUGACGCCGUUAAAGGUGAGACUUAUCUCGAGGAUGUACGAGGACAAGUGAGGCUAGGAGGCUAUGAUCCAUCGACGUAUCAAUUAGCUGACUUUGGAAGCAUGUUACGAA
Molecule: small RNA, 607 nt
Filed under: Malus domestica (apple)
Lineage: Eukaryota; Viridiplantae; Streptophyta; Magnoliopsida; Rosales; Rosaceae
Description: sRNA MD17G0128800
Source: RNAcentral